ACGGAAGGCAGCAGUGGGGAAUAUUGCACAAUGGGGGAAACCCUGAUGCAGCGACGCCGCGUGAAGGAAGAAGUAUUUCGGUAUGUAAACUUCUAUCAGCAGGGAAGAUAAUGACGGUACCUGACUAAGAAGCUCCGGCUAAAUACGUGCCAGCAGCCGCGGUAAUACGUAUGGAGCAAGCGUUAUCCGGAUUUACUGGGUGUAAAGGGUGCGCAGGUGGUUUGGCAAGUCAGAAGUGAAAACCCGGGGCUCAACUCCGUGGAUUGCUUUUGAAACUGUCGAACUAGAGUCCAGGAGAGGUAAGCGGAAGUCCUAGGGUAGCGGUGAAAUGCGUAGAUAUUAGGAGGAGCACCAGUGGCGAAGGCGGCUUACUGGACUGGUACGGACACUGAGGCACGAAAGCGUGGGGAGCAAACAGGAUUAGAUACCC
This 430-nucleotide ribosomal RNA is filed under the name uncultured Coprococcus sp. Its description in RNAcentral is "partial 16S ribosomal RNA". It matches the Rfam family "Bacterial small subunit ribosomal RNA", at positions 341 to 787 of the family's 1533-position model. Lineage: Bacteria; Bacillati; Bacillota; Clostridia; Lachnospirales; Lachnospiraceae. The record is from RNAcentral.